UACGUAGGGUGCAAGCGUUGUCCGGAGUUAUUGGGCGUAAAGAGCUCGUAGGCGGUUUGUUGCGUCGGCUGUGAAAUCCCGAGGCUCAACCUCGGGUCUGCAGUCGAUACGAGCAAACUAGAGUGUUGCAGGGGAGACUGGAAUUCCUGGUGUAGCGGUGAAAUGCGCAGAUAUCAGGAGGAACACCGGUGGCGAAGGCGGGUCUCUGGGCAACAACUGACGCUGAGGAGCGAAAGCGUGGGGAGCGAACAGG
Molecule: ribosomal RNA, 253 nt
Filed under: uncultured bacterium
Lineage: Bacteria
Description: partial 16S ribosomal RNA
Rfam family: Bacterial small subunit ribosomal RNA
Source: RNAcentral